CGAUGUUGCAGCCCUGGCAUAUUUGGGCCUCUUCUGGCUGCCCUGGGCCUGGCCUCUCUGUGUCUGGACCUGAGUGCAGUCAGGUCCCCACAGCCUUCAAGUCUUAAAGACACACAGACCACAAAAGAAAACUUCAUUUUCCCCGGAGGACCAAGACACUGGAAACCUGGCCAGGAGCUGCCCCCAACCCUCAGCUGAAGCUUCCAGGGGCUCCAUAACAUCCCAUCCCAACCCUGGAAAGAGCCAGAGGUGAUGGAACUCCAUCUCCCCAUCCCCCACCUGUCCUACAGGCUUCAGACUAUCCUCAAAAAGUUCGGGUAAGGCAGCGCUGAAGGGAAGUUCCAGGGACCUUGCUUUCUCCACUCCAGUCCCCAAUAUUCAGUCAACAUCUCUUGGCUGGCUGGGGCUGAUUAUUAUAAAGUACAACCUUUGUGAGAGGGAAGACUGACGUUCAAAGAAGUGAAGCAACUCACCCAGCGAAUAAGUGAGUAGAACAAGGGCUAACACCCAAGUCUU
This 516-nucleotide long non-coding RNA is filed under the name Homo sapiens (human). Its description in RNAcentral is "HSALNT0334323". Lineage: Eukaryota; Metazoa; Chordata; Mammalia; Primates; Hominidae. The record is from RNAcentral.